CUUUCAAUAAUGGAUGCAUUUAACAUUUAAUUUUACAGCAUCUUUACAGAGGUGUAAUGUACAAGCUGCACGUAAUUAAUAAUAUGUCCUUCCUUCUGUCUUACAGGAUUUUUUCCAGAUAAUGCUGUUCUUCUUUUUCAGGUCUAAAAUAUCGAGCUCAACAGCUAUUUUAAGAGCCAACCCUCACAAACCUUCCUAAAACCUAAAAGAGCUAUUACUGAGUCUCAGCGAAUCUUGCCAUGAUCAGCUCUUCCCAGAAGAGAAGGAAGACCAAGGAAAUGAUUUGCUCAGGAUGAGAAAUGAAGAUGGCCAUCUUGUGCUCAAACAAACAGAAGUCCUCUGAUGAUCUCAUCAGCCAAAUGAGGGGUUUUGACCAAGUGAUGCUCUUGAAAGGAGAGAAAGAAGAGGAUGUGGUAAAUUCUCUUCAGAGAAAAAGCUUCUCAAAAGGUCUUAAAACAGCUUGAAGAAUGGU
This is a long non-coding RNA of Carassius gibelio (silver crucian carp), 472 nucleotides long. RefSeq lists it as uncharacterized. The record is from RefSeq and is a predicted model, not a curated record. Lineage: Eukaryota; Metazoa; Chordata; Actinopteri; Cypriniformes; Cyprinidae. The transcript is spliced from 3 exons.